This 2275-nucleotide long non-coding RNA is filed under the name Homo sapiens (human). RNAcentral's name for it is "non-protein coding LINC00574:8". Lineage: Eukaryota; Metazoa; Chordata; Mammalia; Primates; Hominidae. The record is from RNAcentral.
CUCUCCCGCUGAAGCGGGUUCCAAGGCCACCGUGAGGGGGACCAUCCAUCCAGGAGAGUACUGGGCAGGCUGCAAAUGUCUGUGUUAAAACAGCUCUGCUGGGCUAAGACAGGACAGAAGCAGACAGCAGGUGGAUGAGACACAAUUUCCUAUCCAGCAGAACCUGCAGCAAGCUCCACAGCACCCUCCAUGGGCUCAGUCUUGCUCCCGGGAAGAUGGUUAAUUCCAUCAGCUCCUUCUGGCCGGCAGCAGGAAGAGUGGCCCUGUGUGUGCCAGGCCCUGCAGUCUCUCCUCUCAGCUGGUGUCUCCAGUGAGGGACCUGAGUCAUCGCACACAUGAGCCUGUGCUCAGCCUGCACAUCUCCCGCCUCCCACCAGCUGCUCCUCAACUGCCAGGGCCAGACUGUGGCAAAAUCUCACUCCUCUGCCGAUGCUGGGGUUUCCCUCGUGUCUGGGAGGUGGUGUGCUUGGUGGCCUGAGCACUGCAGUGAAUCCAUGUUUCCCUCCCAGCACCCUGUUCUGUCCUCCAACUUGGCCGACAGCUCUGGCCAGGGACGCAGCCCAGCUGGUGCCCACCCCGCACUCUGUCCAUUUCAUAAGAGCCCUUGGUUUCCUCACUUCCCUCAGAUUUUGCCAAGAGAAUGGUCCUGGUGUGGCCCAGAAAGGCCAGCGGGGUGCAGCCUGGGACUGAAAGCAGAGGCGGCUCUGGUGGGGAAAAAGUAGCUCUCCCAGCCUAGCCCUACUGGUGGGCGGCACCUCCUGGCUCCAGGCCAUCUUUUGUCCCAGUCCUAGGUAAGAAAAACACAAACAAAAGCCAGUCCCAUGGCACUCGAGAAGCAGGAGGCCGUUCCCUGACAGCAACAUGCUGUGUGCACAGACACACGGGUGGACAGGAGGCAGAGCUCGGGGUUGCUGCGGAGCGGGCAGGACACUGGAGCGGCAGGCAGUGCGGACCCGCCGGGCAGCCGUGCACGGUUGUCGUCCUCAGCGGCAGGAGCCAGUUUGUUGCUCAGGGCCUUGUCUUUUUACAAAGAGCCCCAGGCCCCGGGGGCUUCUCUGGGUGCCUCUUUGCUGCCAUGUCUGCACGCGGGCGGAGAGCAGACCAGGCUACCGACCCUCUCGCUUUGCUGUCUUCACGUGGAAAAGCCAGUGUCGUAGCCCCAAAGGAGGGGAAACUGUAUUGAUUUGGGGAGCCUCUAUGUUGAUUUCAAAACAGAUUGUCUCCUGUGUUCUCAAAGACUGGAAGCGAACCCCACAACCGCCUUAGGCCACAAAAGCUUUAUCCUUUCUAAUUAGCAUCCCUGUGACCUGCUCUGCGCCCUGCAGAUAUUUUGCUCAGCCAGCCAGAAGGAGGGAGGCCAGACACCAGCCCCCACAGACCUGCGGCUGCGACCCCCUGCCUGGGGACGAUGGGGUCGGGGUCCAGUAGCUGCCCCAGAAACAAGUGGGGCUGCAGGAGGCUGAUGGUGAGCUUGGAGGUUGGCAGAAUUCUAAAUCUGGGCACUGCAGGGUCCCCACAGGUCACGACCCUACUCUGCUCCACCCAGGCUCCGGAGGACCUGAGCAGGAACCUCUGCAGGGGGGGCCCGGGGCUCCCUGUCCUCUCAGCAGCCGGCAGUGCUCCCUGACAGCCCGGGCCUCUCCCUCCAGUAGUUCGGUAGUUUGCUGUCACCAACAUGGCUGGGCCUGGGACAGGCUCCUCCUCUCCCUCCAGAAGCCAGGCAGUCCCUCCUGCCUCAGUUUCUCAGACUAGGCCGCCUCUCCCAUCGCGAGACACUGAAGACCCUCAGCUGUUUCCAUCUGCCCAGUCUGACUGCUGGAUCGCCCUCUGUGUGCGUUGGUUUGCUGUGUUCUUGCUACUCGCCCUUGGAUAAGAUUUCUUCUCUACUCAUGAAGCUGCGUGUCCUGGAGGGCAGGGCCGCACCUCACAUGCAUGUUGCCCACAUAGCUCAGCAACAGAUGCUCUCACGCUUGUUAAAAGUAAAACCGGGCCAGGCGCAGUGGCUCACGCCUGUAAUCCCAGCACUUUGGGAGGCCGAGGUGGGUGGAUCACCUGAAGUCAGGAGUUUGAGACUAGCCUGACCAACAUGGAGAAAUCCCGUCUCUACUAAAAAUACAAAAAAUUAGCUGGGCGUGGUGGCACAUGCCUGUAAUCCCAGCUACUCGGAGGCAGGAGAAUUGCUUGAACCCAGGAGGCGGAGGUUGCGGUGAGCCAAGAUCACGCCAUAGCAAUUGCACUCCGGCCUGGGCAACAAGAGCAAAACUCUGUCAAAAAG